This 545-nucleotide ribosomal RNA is filed under the name uncultured bacterium. Its description in RNAcentral is "bacterial SSU rRNA". It matches the Rfam family "Bacterial small subunit ribosomal RNA", at positions 354 to 928 of the family's 1533-position model. The record is from RNAcentral.
GCCCCGAUGAAUGCAUUGCCUGAUGCAGCCAUGCCGCGUGAGUGAUGACGGCCCUAGGGUUGUAAACCUCUUUCACCGCUGACGAUAAUGACGGUACCCGGAGAACAAACCCCGGCUAACUUCGUGCCAUCACCCGCGGUAAUACAAAGGGGGCUAGCGUUGUUCUGAAUUACUGGGCGUAAAGCGCACAUAUGCGGGUAUUUUAGUCACGGGUGAAAUCCCAGAGCUCAACUCCGGAACUGCCUUUGAUACUGGGUACCUAGAGUAUGGAACAGGUAGGUGGAAUUCCAAUUGUGGAGGUGAAAUUCAUAGAUCUUCUGAGGAACACCACUGGCGAAGGCAACGUACUGGUCCGUUACUGACCCUAAGGUGCGAAAGCGUGGGGAGCAUACCGGAUUAGAUACCCUGGUAUGCCACGCCGUACACGAUGAAGGUUACCCGUCGGGUUGCUUGCCUGUCGGUGGCGCAGCUAACGCAUUAAACAUUCCGCCUGGGGAGUACGGUCGCAAGAUUAAAACUCAAAAAAAUUGACGGAAUUGACGGAA